This 426-nucleotide ribosomal RNA is filed under the name uncultured bacterium. Its description in RNAcentral is "bacterial SSU rRNA". It matches the Rfam family "Bacterial small subunit ribosomal RNA", at positions 354 to 796 of the family's 1533-position model. The record is from RNAcentral.
GUGAGGAAUAUUGCGCAAUGGGCGAAAGCCUGACGCAGCAACGCCGCGUGGAGGAUGAAGGCUCUCGGGUUGUAAACUCCUUUUCUGGGAGAAGAGCAAGGACGGUAUCCCAGGAAUAAGUCUCGGCUAACUACGUGCCAGCAGCCGCGGUAAAACGUAGGAGGCUAGCGUUAUCCGGAUUCACUGGGCGUAAAGCGCACGCAGGCGGUUAUGUAAGUCGGACGUGAAAUCUCUCGGCUCAACUGAGAGAGGUCGCUCGAUACUGCAUGACUUGAGGUUGGGAGAGGGGAGUGGAAUUCCCGGUGUAGUGGUGGAAUGCGUAGAUAUCGGGAGGAACACCAGUGGCGAAAGCGGCUCCCUGGCCCAACCCUGACGCUCAUGUGCGAAAGCGUGGGGAGCGAACGGGAUUAGAUACCCUAGUAGUCC